CUUUUGGAAAAAUACGAUUUGUGUCUUCAGACUGCAGGCAAAUCAAAUGGUGUGCACCCCACUUUGAAUCCUUGGUCUGGCUAUCUCCGAUCCUCCAGAAGUGAUGGCCGGCUUACAAACUGCGUCUCACUCUGGUUGCCUCUGUAGGAUCCCGCACGUCCUGGCCCUGGACGUAUUGCCGAAAACGCUCACAAAAAAAUAAAACAAAAAUUGGUUCGGUUAUUUUGUCCCCUUUUAUAGCUCACAUGUAUCUGGAGAAGACUGGAU
Non-coding RNA from Pelobates cultripes (western spadefoot toad), 267 nucleotides. The record is from the annotation of a GenBank genome assembly. NCBI's taxonomy places the organism in Eukaryota, Metazoa, Chordata, Amphibia, Anura, Pelobatidae.